RNAcentral lists this ribosomal RNA (1470 nucleotides) under metagenome. Its description in RNAcentral is "bacterial SSU rRNA". It matches the Rfam family "Bacterial small subunit ribosomal RNA". The record is from RNAcentral.
AGAGUUUGAUCCUGGCCCAGGACGAACGCUGGCGGCACGCUUAACACAUGCAAGUCGAACGAGAGAAGAGGAGCUUGCUUUUCUGAUCUAGUGGCGGACGGGUGAGUAACACGUGAGCAAUCUGGCUUUCAGAGGGGGAUACCGAUUGGAAACGAUCGUUAAUACCGCAUAACAUAAUUGAACCGCAUGAUUUGAUUAUCAAAGAUUUAUCGCUGAAAGAUGAGCUCGCGUCUGAUUAGCUAGUUGGUAAGGUAACGGCUUACCAAGGCGACGAUCAGUAGCCGGACUGAGAGGUUGAUCGGCCACAUUGGGACUGAGACACGGCCCAGACUCCUACGGGAGGCAGCAGUGGGGAAUAUUGCACAAUGGAGGAAACUCUGAUGCAGCGAUGCCGCGUGAGGGAAGAAGGUUUUAGGAUUGUAAACCUCUGUCUUCAGGGACGAAAAAAGACGGUACCUGAGGAGGAAGCUCCGGCUAACUACGUGCCAGCAGCCGCGGUAAUACGUAGGGAGCGAGCGUUGUCCGGAAUUACUGGGUGUAAAGGGAGCGUAGGCGGGAUCGCAAGUCAGAUGUGAAAACUAUGGGCUUAACCCAUAAACUGCAUUUGAAACUGUGGUUCUUGAGUGAAGUAGAGGUAAGCGGAAUUCCUAGUGUAGCGGUGAAAUGCGUAGAUAUUAGGAGGAACAUCAGUGGCGAAGGCGGCUUACUGGGCUUUAACUGACGCUGAGGCUCGAAAGCGUGGGGAGCAAACAGGAUUAGAUACCCUGGUAGUCCACGCCGUAAACGAUGAUUACUAGGUGUGGGGGGACUGACCCCUUCCGUGCCGCAGCAAACGCAAUAAGUAAUCCACCUGGGGAGUACGACCGCAAGGUUGAAACUCAAAGGAAUUGACGGGGGCCCGCACAAGCAGUGGAGUAUGUGGAUUAACUCGAAGCAACGCGAAGAACCUUACCAGGUCUUGACAUCGUAUGCAUAGCUCAGAGAUGAGUGAAAUCUCUUCGGAGACAUAUAGACAGGUGGUGCAUGGUUGUCGUCAGCUCGUGUCGUGAGAUGUUGGGUUAAGUCCCGCAACGAGCGCAACCCUUACUGUUAGUUGCUACGCAAGAGCACUCUAGCAGGACUGCCGUUGACAAAACGGAGGAAGGUGGGGAUGACGUCAAAUCAUCAUGCCCCUUAUGACCUGGGCCUCACACGUACUACAAUGGCUGUCAACAGAGGGAAGCAAAGCCGCGAGGUGGAGCGAACCCCUAAAAGCAGUCUUAGUUCGGAUUGUAGGCUGCAACCCGCCUACAUGAAGUCGGAAUUGCUAGUAAUCGCAGAUCAGCAUGCUGCGGUGAAUACGUUCCCGGGCCUUGUACACACCGCCCGUCACGCCAUGGGAGUCGGUAACACCCGAAGCCUGUAGUCUAACCGCAAGGAGGACGCAGUCGAAGGUGGGAUUGAUGACUGGGGUGAAGUCGUAACAAGGUA